This is a long non-coding RNA of Triticum aestivum (bread wheat), 547 nucleotides long. RefSeq lists it as uncharacterized. The transcript has 2 exons. The record is from RefSeq and is a predicted model, not a curated record. NCBI's taxonomy places the organism in Eukaryota, Viridiplantae, Streptophyta, Magnoliopsida, Poales, Poaceae.
CCGCCCAGGAACCAAUCGCCGUCGCGCCGCCCCCUCCAUAAGAAUCGAUCAAGUGCUUGUUGUUGGACAGAUCGAUGAAGAUCCACGUUAGGUUGCUAAACAACACGGCCCACGAUCUCGAGGUGGACGGCUCGGACACCAUCGGCAGCGUGAAGGCGAAGAUCAUGGAAAAGGAGGGGGUUCCACCGCAGCAGCAGCUCCUCUUCUUCGCCGACGAGGGGCUGGAGGAUGCCCGGACGCUCGCGGACCAUGGCAUCGAGGACGGGGCCUCGGUUUGCCUGAUCGCCAUCAACAUGCAGGGUUAACUCGUUUGGUAGAUCGAUGAGUGUUUUUCAGUUUUUGUAGUUUGUUUAGCGUUUUCGGUUUGGUUGCAUCGUUGUUGUGUGCAGCCAGACACAGCUAGUCUUCGUUUACAUAUGUGCAAUGGUCUAUGGUUGGGUCAGAGAUUAGGUACGAUCUGAAACUAGCAGGUCACACAUUAAUUAGGCAGCCGUGUAUAUAUGCUUGUGGUCUUUUCACUUCUCCCGCAGAGAAGUAAUUUGUUCAA